AAAAAGAAAAGAUAAAUUGCAGGAACCUCUGAUUUUGAUACCUCAGUGAAAGAGAUAACUGUUAAUCCGGUACUUGAUAACCCUCGAGGGGUCAACGAGGUGCGUAUUGAGUCAGCAUGACUAAGUCUUGUCGAAAAGAGUAUGCAAUUUACCUAAGCAAAGAGUUUAUCGACUGUGAAACCAUACACCCGCUGUUCGAAAAACUUGAUGUACUUUGGCAUAGGCUGCUCGCCGACUGAGACAGUGUAUGUUGAUUCAUACCACUUUGUGGAUGUCCAAAAUGGAUCUGAUCAGAUAUGUGUUUGAGAAGCUAGUAGCAACCCAUGGAAAGGUUAUCAACCAAGGAAGUUUGAGGUCCCUGAUGAGGACAUCUCGAGGUACUCAAAUCGAAAGAUUGAGAGUGACCGAUCCCGGAGGAGGGGCCUGGCCCUGAAUCCGAACGGAUUCCGAUGUCUGAUGGGGAAGUAAAGUGAAUGAGGUAGUGCUCCCCGAAUCCCAGUUGGUUGCACCAACAAUGGUGGCUGAACAUAAAGUCUGUAUCCUGGAUAUUGAAUCUUGGGAUGUGCAUCUACUUGGGGCAGUGACUUCCUCACAGAUAUAUGAGAAAUCAGAGAAGACUGAAUGGAUAAGGACUCGGAAUGACAUGUCAAGUCCAAUUGAGGAAAAAGCGUUGACAGUUACCUGGCAUGGGGCGGUUGUACCCAGUGAACGAAGCAUGUUGUUAACCAAGAAGUGUGACCUCGCGCGU
RNAcentral lists this long non-coding RNA (748 nucleotides) under Lathyrus oleraceus (garden pea). RNAcentral's name for it is "Pisum sativum (pea) long non-coding RNA (PSAT_LNC041310)". Lineage: Eukaryota; Viridiplantae; Streptophyta; Magnoliopsida; Fabales; Fabaceae. The record is from RNAcentral.